Long non-coding RNA from Parasteatoda tepidariorum (common house spider), 652 nucleotides. RefSeq lists it as uncharacterized. The record is from RefSeq and is a predicted model, not a curated record. Lineage: Eukaryota; Metazoa; Arthropoda; Arachnida; Araneae; Theridiidae.
GCUUUGUAAUAGUCGUAAAAUUGAAUUCAGUUUUACUUCCAUUUCUGCUGACAUUUCAUUGUGCACACAGAUGGUUAUAAAAAUUGAAUACAGCUUAUUUAUGGUUAUUAAACAUAUUAUUCCGAUAUGGAACUAUAUUUUACCAUUAUUCAAAAUUAUGUUUUAAUAUAAUACUUAAAAUCGCUGAUAUAAAUCAUCAUUGCCACUAAAUAGAGCCAACUAAAUUGCUUCUGCAAUCAGAAAAUAUCUGAAGACUCAAGAAAAUGAAAUACUUAUUCUUGCUGCUCGCCCUUCUUGCUGUUGUAGUACAAUUAGCCAGUGCUGAAUUAGUAAUAGACGCAUCCAAGGCCGAGAUGCGUCGUCCAAACUGCAAUUUUGUCGGAAAAUGUGAGCCACCUUGCCGAAUAGAAGCUUUACUUGGAUGUGAAUCUUGUGUUUGCGGAGGUCCCUCCUUCAAUGCUUGAUUAAGUGUAAUCUAUACAAAGAUGACGAGUUAUUCCUAUAGUAUAUUAACUGUGCACUCAAAAAGGCGGCACGUAAUGGCUCUUUGCAAUGCUCCAAUAUAAAAAACUCUCAAUUCACAAUCUUAUUCCUUUUCUAUAUUAUUUUCGAUUCAAAUAAAUAAAAAUUGAUAGUUCAUUUUGUUACAGUA